CUUUUGUUGUUCAUACUGUAUUGCUAUUGGAGAGACUCCAAACCUGAAAGCGUCUCUCUCUUUCUUGUGUUUGAGUUUCUUAUAUACCUUUCUUUUGUUUUUUAAUCUGCUAUUUGACAUACUAUUGAUCUUUUUAACCAGAAAUUUGGCCUUGUAAUGUGCGGCAUUCCUUUUUUUUUCUCCCCUAUUCUUUCCUCAUUCUCAGAAUGAUAAAAGGCCUCUCUGACCUUCCAUUGGACUUGUAUGGCAUCUCUAUGCAUGGCUGUGUCUUUCCAUACAUCAGCUGUUAUGCAUUUGGUGUUCUCAUCUACUUUCCAUGGAUAAAUUGAGGCGUGAGUUGAAAGAUUUGUUUACUUGGAGUGCCUCUGACAUUAUUUAGUUUCCUCUUUUCUUUCUGGGUUCAAUUUUGCUGUUACUGUGAAGCCACCUGAACUUCUGCCUCCAGCAUCCCGUCUGAAUUCAGCUACUUCAGCACCAAAGCCUGUUCUCAGGUGACACGAGUUUAAUCAGUUCUUUAAAUUUGAUUAAUUGGACAUUUUUGCUGCGAUGCACUAAUUUCAUGUAUAAGAAACAUGUAUUGCACUUGUGUUAUAAGCAAAAACAGUUUUUGAGUGUCUUCAUGGGGGAAGUUGAAAAUUGGGCAUCUUAGGUAGUGUUUCUUAUGAUUCUUGAGAGCCGUAGUUUUAGAUGCUGCUACCCGUACAGGAAUGUGACUAUGAGAAGCAUUUGAAAAGUUUGCAAGGUUAGCUGUUUGAGUUUUUUUUUUUUUUUUUUUUUUUUAGAGCAACAAAAAAUGUAUCCGGAAAGUGUAUGACAGAUAUCAACACAUAUUUUCUUUUACUGGAAUUUCAUUUUAUGUUGCCAUUAUAUUGGUCCUCAAGUCUUGGCUAAAUUUCAGUUUCAUACUUCUGUUGAUGAAUUCUUGCUCCAUUGGAUGGAUUUCUGUAAGUUUUUAUGUCUCUUACACCGUUGAUCCUAUCCCUUGCGUCUCUCCCUGCCAAUUGUUAAUGUUGUUUGCAGGUUUAACUUCACCUCCUUGGCUAAGGCUACUGGCGAAAGCACUAAGACCUAAAGAUGUCCAUCUCCGGAAGAGAAGGUCCUUGAGGAGUUGUUCGUAUGUUGUAAAAAUGAUGUUGGAUUUCAGCAAAUCUUUUUCUCCUUUUGUAAUAAUAAUAAUUACUUUUACCCCUUUUUGGAUUGAUGAUAAUGAAAGAUUCAAGUCUAUCACCUUCUGGAAUUUUUUACCCCUUUUAACCACUCAUCAAAGAUGGAAUCAGAUUAACAGAUACUACUACUCGUAGUAUUUCUCAUGCUUGUCUUUUUACUAGUUUUAGUCUAAUCUCGUCGUAGCUUGCAUUUCAUAGAAGCCACACAAGCUAAGGAAAAUAACACAAUUCAUAGCUGAUGAUUACCAUAGGUUGGAAAGGGUUGUUCACUUGAGUGAUUCUUGUACUGUUCUUUGCCCUGUUAAUAUAUUCAUUAAUGAAUUAGAGGGAUUUUUUUCUUUUGAGUUUCCUGAACAAUAUUUGAGAUUAUAUACGCUGUAGAAACAGUAAUGGUGAAAACAUUUUGAUUUUCUGAAUUUCAACUUUCCAGUUUGGAUGUUAUUGGUUUUGUGCUAGAAGGCUUGGGAGAAAUUUUUCCCCAAAAAAAAAAAACGAAAGGAAAAGAAAAAAUUUGUGUAAAGAGUGGUAGAAUUGUAAUUCAUUGUGAACCACUCUAUAAGCCCCAAAAAACAAAAACUAAGUGUGAGAGAGAGAGAGAGAGAAGGGAAAAGAUGUUAUUUCAACGAAUCCGCUGAAAAUUGGAAAGUGUAAAGCAAAGCAAUGGCUGGCCCUGGGUUUGGCAACCAGAGUAGCGGGCAACGACUUGGCAUUACCGAGCCAAUUUCAUGGAGUGGACCAACAGAAUAUGAUAUGAUCAAAACCCGUGAGCUUGAAAAGGUUAUAGAUGAAUUCCUAUUUAUAGACACACAAACAUGCAUGUUGCUAGUAGGAGUAAUUGUUUUGUUGAGGAUUAUUCAAAAUAGGUAAUGCAUGUAUGCGUUUGCAGUUUUUAGCAGAUGUUGGGUUGUACGAGAGCCAGGAGGAAGCCAUCAGUAGGGAGGAAGUGCUUGGUAGACUUGACCAGGUUCGCUGGUUUAAUCAACGCCAAUUUUUGUAGUUUUGACAAGUUUGUGGAUUAUGAUGUAUACGGCUGCUGUGGUUGUUGGGUAUUUGAGCAGAUUGUAAAGACAUGGGUGAAAAAUGUAAGCCGUGCCAAGGGUUUAAAUGAGCAGUUGGUGCAAGAAGCAAAUGCAAAGAUAUUUACCUUUGGCUCAUAUCGGCUUGGGGUAUGCAGCUUUUUUUUUUUUUUUUUUCCUAACUUCUUUCCCACUUCCUGAAAUCUGCCGCUGUGCAAACACACACAAGAAUGAAAAACAAAAAUAAAAGAAGAAAAUUAUAUCAUUUUUGUGGGUUUUAUGCUUAAUGGUUGACAAAAACUUAAUAAUACACUGAAAGUUCUAACCUUCAAAGGGUGGUUGUGUCAUGCUAUGGGUUCCAGUGCAGUAUCAUUUGGAGCUUUUAUUUAGGGUUUAGCUGCAAUUGUUUGUAGAUGGUUCGCAGAUCCUCAUGAUAGUGCCUUACUAAAUGUUGAUGAAAUGACUAAUAAGCUCAACGUACUUUUGAUACUUGGUACUGGGACAAUCUACUUGAUGGUCACAUGUCAAAUUCUUUUACCUAGGGAUAGAAUUGGAGGCUAGCUGCUUCAUGCGCUAAGAUCUUCCUUAAUGGAGAUGUACUUGUACCAUCACUCAAAACCCUUUUUUAAUUUUCUAUGAGAUUUUGUUGUUAAUAUCAAUGACUUUUGCUGGUUUAUUUGCAAGGUGCUUUGUCUGGAUUAAUUAAAGUUAACAUAUUCCACUAUAAUUUGAUUUGACAAUCUCCCUUUAUAGUGCAUAUGACCCUUCAAAUUCAUAGCAUACUUUAGAUGAAGAAUUAACCUUCUGUAUUUUAUCUGGUUUUGGUUUAACAACUGUUGGGAGUUAUAUAGGCUUUUUGUGUUUGCUGUUUGACAGUGUUUGUAAUGUUGAGGAUCAUUUGCACUGUUGUCUAUCUGUAAUAUACGUACAUUUUUCCCUUCUGCUUUUUCUGAAUGCUGCUUAUUUGUAUUAGGUACAUGGUCCUGGGGCGGAUAUAGAUACACUCUGCGUGGGACCCAGACACGCAACAAGAGAUGUAGGAUCAAUUCUACCCUAUUGUGGUGCAGAUAUCUUUUUUGGUUCAAACUUGUUUUAUUGGAUUGUUAUAAAACUUUUGUUACAAAUGCAGGACGAUUUUUUUGGUGAGCUACAGAGAAUGCUGUCAGAAAUGCCUGAAGUUUCAGAGCUGCAUCCUGUACCUGACGCUCAUGUCCCUGUGUUGAAAUUCAAAUUUAGUGGAAUUUCAAUAGACCUCCUUUAUGCAAAAUUGUCUCUAUGGGUUAUUCCAGAAGUAAGUGCCUGUCUUAGACCUUUCUAACUUCAUGAAUUCACAAUAAGCAGUCAAUACUAAAUAACUGUUGAGCUCUUCAAACUUCUAAUUGGAGAUUUAUUGGGGUAUAUUCUCGGUAAUUAUUAAAUUAAAGUUCUUCACCAAGUAGAAUGGCUAAUAUUGGUGUAUUAGGUUUCUUUGGUUCAAUUUUCGUGGUCAUAUAAUAGGCGUCUCAGUGCAUGUUAUUUGUCUACCUUUUGUAGUCUGCUGCCUAUCGCGGAUAGUGCGUCUUCAUUUUCUUUGAGCUAAUAUGUUGAAGAGAUAAAGAUUAGAUUUUCAUUUCCAAGCUGGUGGUUUGAUUAUCUUCAUGGUGCCUAGAAAAUUUUCCUUGAUGUUAAUAAGUAUUUUUUUUAAUUCAGUUAUAUAUUUUUACACUGUCAACUGUCAAGUACUCAAUAAGUAGUCUGAUGUUUUCCUUUUUUCAUAACUCUUCUGCUACAGGAUCUUGAUAUCUCACAAGAGUCAAUACUGCAGAAUGCUGAUGAGCAGACUGUACGCAGUCUGAACGGUUGUAGAGUUACUGAUCAGAUUUUACGAUUAGUGCCAAAUAUUCAGGUCUUAACCAUUUGUAAUGCAUUAUUGUUUAUAUCAGAAUCUCCAUGUUUAAGUAUAGUUCUAAUCAAAUAAUUUUGUGCUGAUGCAGAACUUCCGCACAACAUUGAGAUGCAUGAGGUAUUGGGCCAAGCGUCGCGGUGUUUAUUCAAAUGUAUGGGCUAGUGUUCUAGAGAUGCCAAGUUUGCAGUAUUCACAUGCUUCUUAUUACAUAUUUUUAUGUAGAGCAUUAAACUUUUCUUAUGGUCAGGUUGCAGGUUUCUUAGGUGGUAUAAAUUGGGCCUUGCUUGUUGCUCGCAUAUGCCAGCUUUAUCCUAAUGCAUUGCCAAACAUGUUAGUCUCACGGUUCUUCAGGGUCUACACACAGUGGCGCUGGCCUAAUCCAGUUAUGCUCUGCGAAAUUGAAGAUGGAUCACUUGGACUACCAGUUUGGGAUCCUAGAAGAAAUCCAAAGGACAGGUUCCACUUGAUGCCCAUAAUAACUCCUGCUUAUCCCUGCAUGAACUCUAGCUAUAAUGUAUCGUCAAGCACUCUGCGGAUUAUGACAAAUGAGUUUCAAAGGGGAAAUGAAAUAUGUGAGGUACAGUUCUUCUUGUGGAUGUUCUAGUUUGUCUUGUCUUUAUGUUUUUUAUUUCUCAGCCCCCCUAGCCCCUCCCCCUCAAUAUCUGCAUUCCUGUGGCAGACUCAAUUUGACAUGUUUGUUAUCUUGUGGUGUCGGGCAAUGGUCCUACUUUCAAAUUGUACUCAAGUCCUUAUUUCCCUCUUUCGCUCCUUUUUCUUUUUUUUCUUUUUGGGUUUUUGUUUGGUUUUUUUUUUUUUUGUUUUCGCCCCCCCAGGGGGGGGGGGUGUUUCCGGGAUUUGGAUAUUUGUGGAUUUCGGUUGUGUUUAGGCGUUUUCAUUAGGGCUCAUUGCCAAUUCAUAAGAUCUCUUUUAGUCCAUUGGAUACUUUGAUAAAAUAAUAAACUUUAUUGCUUUUGAGACUUUUGAGGUGAUGACUGCUUCUUCAUAUUUUUCAUAUUUCCUGUCUCUCUAAGUACAGUAUUCUUGGAUCUAAGUCUCAUUGCAUCUGUUACUCUGUCCUGCAUAAUGUAAUUAUUAUGUAUGCUAUUUGAUUUAUAGACAAAUAUAUUUCUGUGGUGAGCUUUGGCAGCUAUUGAAGCCUUGAUCCAGUUCUGUUUGCAUGUUUUUCUUGGUUUUGGUUAUGAAUUCAGUCAAUUUUGUGAGAGGGACCAUCUAAAAAGAACUGAAAAUUAUUCUAAAACUCCUGUGGCUAUAUAUUUGUUACUCACUCGUGCUGCCCUUCUGCUCUAUGUAAUUUGCUCUUUCCUUCAGGCCAUGGAUGCAAACAAAUGCAACUGGGAUAAACUUUUUGAACUUUAUCCUUUCUUUGAGGCGUAUAAGAAUUAUCUGCAGAUAGAUGUUACUGCCGCAAAUGCUGCUGACUUGAUGAAUUGGAAGGGCUGGGUUGAAUCCCGCUUGCGGCAACUUACAUUAAAGGUCAUUUCUAUUAGUCUUACUGCUUAUAUGUCUUACUUUAUAUGCACAUAUACAGAUUUAUUACUUGUCCCUGACACGUGGGUCAUUCUAACAACUAGAUUGAGAGGCAUACUCUUAACAUGCUUCAGUGCCAUCCACACCCAGGGGACUUCUCAGACAAAUCAAGACCAUUUUAUUGUUGUUACUUUAUGGGUCUCCAACGGAAACAAGGAGUGGCUGCCAAUGAGGGGGAGCAGUUUGAUAUUAGGUUGACUGUUGAGGAAUUCAAGCAUGCUGUUGGCAUGUAUAACACGUGGAAGCCUGGAAUGGAGAUCCGUGUAUGCCAUGUCAAACGUCGGAGCAUACCUGCAUUUGUGUUUCCCAGUGGGGUUCGGCCUCGUCCCACCAAAGUAGCUGGAGAAGGUAGGCGUCCUUCACAAACUAAAGUAUCCAGUCAUACUGAAGAUAGUUCUCUUCCGAAGGCAUUGAAUGGUGGGAGUAAAAGGAAAAGGGAUGAUACUGAUACAGCGACCAGUUUAAAUGCAAAACGUAUAGCUGGUGUGGGGGAAUCAGGUGAGCUAGUGCAUGAGGGUAGACCAUCUGGUUGCAUUGGUACUUCGUACUUGGGCAAUGCUAGUUUAGAAACGCCAGGAAAAAUUUUUAACGAGAAGGUUGAAGAUAAUAUGGGUAAUGGAUUAGAAAAUCCCAUUUGUCUGCCUCAGGCCUCUUCUCAAAAUGGUGGAGAAUCAGAUGCAUCUUUAAGGCUUGAUCCAUCUACACCUGCUGAUUCCAUUUCAUUAAGCUCCAAAGAAGCUGAAAAACUUGCAAUCGAAAAGAUGAUGUCUGGUCCAUAUGUUGCACACCAAACAUUCCCUCAAGAACUUGAUGAGCUUGAAGAUGAUCCUGAGUACAAAAAUCAGGGGAAAAUUACUGGUGGGAGCAUGAAAGGGAGCUCCAUGGAGUCCUCAGCUACAAAAGGGUCACUUAUAGUUUCUCUUACCACUAGCACAGCUGCUGGUUCUCGCUCCAGCUUGCAAUCGAGUGGGAAAUUAGAAGAACUUGAGGUAUUGCCUAUGAACGUACUGUCUUGUAGAUAUUGAGAUUCUUUUUUUGGCUUGGUUGGUUUUUAUUCAUUUUGAUAUUCUGAAUGUCGACAUACCAUCACUGGUAUCAAUACUUGCAAACGGGCUUAUUACUGUUUAUGCUUAGAAGUUAUUAUUUACUUGUCACUUGUAUGCAAUCGAAUGGACUUUUUUAUUUAAUGAUUUGCUGUAAUAGCCAAAAGAUCAUCUAUAGAUUUAGGUUGUAGUAAUUGUGGAUUCUACACAGCUGUUGUGUUUAAUUGCAAGAAAACCUUGAGUAGAAGAUGCUAGGGGAGUUAUCAAAUCUCAGACACAUUAAACUGAACAUGUGACUGGAAAGGACGGUCCAACUUACAUGCUACAAGAGGCAGGAAAUAAUAUUGGACUUUGUUCCUUGUUCUGAUUUAAGAGCAUAAUGUUGCAUCUUGUUCUAUACUGUUUUUAUGAACUUCCUUUUGUUGUUUAUACUGUAUUGCUAUUGGAGAGACUCCAAACCUGAAAGCGUCUCUCUCUUUCUUGCAUUUGAGUUUCUUAUAUACCUUUCUUUUGUUUUUUAAUCUGCUAUUUGACAUACUAUUGAUCUUUUUAACCAGAAAUUUGGCCUUGUAAUGUGCGGCAUUCCUUUUUUUUUCUCCCCUAUUCUUUCCUCAUUCUCAGAAUGAUAAAAGGCCUCUCUGACCUUCCAUUGGACUUGUAUGGCAUCUCUAUGCAUGGCUGUGUCUUUCCAUACAUCAGCUGUUAUGCAUUUGGUGUUCUCAUCUACUUUCCAUGGAUAAAUUGAGGCGUGAGUUGAAAGAUUUGUUUACUUGGAGUGCCUCUGACAUUAUUUAGUUUCCUCUUUUCUUUCUGGGUUCAAUUUUGCUGUUACUAUGAAGCCAC
Molecule: long non-coding RNA, 7501 nt
Filed under: Coffea arabica (coffee)
Lineage: Eukaryota; Viridiplantae; Streptophyta; Magnoliopsida; Gentianales; Rubiaceae
Description: long non-coding RNA (CARA_LNC003089)
Source: RNAcentral